CCUACGGGAGGCAGCAGUGGGGAAUAUUGCACAAUGGGGGAAACCCUGAUGCAGCAACGCCGCGUGAGUGAAGCAGUAUUUCGGUAUGUAAAGCUCUAUCAGCAGGGAAGAAAAUGACGUUACCUGACUAAGAAGCCCCGGCUAACUACGUGCCAGCAGCCGCGGUAAUACGUAGGGGGCAAGCGUUAUCCGGAUUUACUGGGUGUAAAGGGAGCGUAGACGGUUGCGCAAGUCAGAAGUGAAAGCCCGGGGCGCAACCCCCGGACUGCUUUGGAAACUGUGUAACGAGAGUGCAGGAGAGGUAAGUGGAAUUCCUAGUGUAGCGGUGAAAUGCGUAGAUAUUAGGAGGAACAACAGUGGCGAAGGCGGCUUACUGGACUGUAACUGACGUUGAGGCUCGAAAGCGUGGGGAGCAAACAGGAUUAGAUACCCUAGUAGUC
This 440-nucleotide ribosomal RNA is filed under the name uncultured bacterium. Its description in RNAcentral is "partial 16S ribosomal RNA". It matches the Rfam family "Bacterial small subunit ribosomal RNA", at positions 338 to 795 of the family's 1533-position model. The record is from RNAcentral.